UACGUAGGGUGCAGGCGUUAAUCGGAAUUACUGGGCGUAAAGCGUGCGCAGGCGGUUUCUUAAGUCAGAUGUGAAAGCCCCGGGCUUAACCUGGGAACUGCGUUUGAAACUGGGAGACUUGAGUGUGGCAGAGGGGGGUGGAAUUCCACGUGUAGCAGUGAAAUGCGUAGAUAUUGGGAAGAACACCGGUGGCGAAGGCGGCUCACUGGCCCGUAACUGACGCUCAUGCACGACAGCGUGGGGAUCAAACAGG
RNAcentral lists this ribosomal RNA (253 nucleotides) under uncultured bacterium. RNAcentral's name for it is "partial 16S ribosomal RNA". It matches the Rfam family "Bacterial small subunit ribosomal RNA", at positions 524 to 776 of the family's 1533-position model. The record is from RNAcentral.